CAGAAAGGCUCCUUGGUACUACGAGAAAGGCACAGAUAAUCUACCAAGUCAUGAUAGACUCCAAUUUAUUGAACAUAUUUUCUUCGAACCUCUGUUACCAAGGCCUCAGAUUAAAAAAAAAUUAAUAUUUAUAUGGAGAAGAAAUGGUAUUUUUCAGAAUGUGCUGGUCUGGAAACUAUACUAAUGCAUAAAGUGCCCUGAAGUGGACAGAAUGUUUCUUCCAUAAGAAAACAGCACAAGACAUCUGGCA
Long non-coding RNA from Cinclus cinclus, 250 nucleotides. RefSeq lists it as uncharacterized. The transcript is spliced from 3 exons. NCBI's taxonomy places the organism in Eukaryota, Metazoa, Chordata, Aves, Passeriformes, Cinclidae. The record is from RefSeq and is a predicted model, not a curated record.